Molecule: ribosomal RNA, 469 nt
Filed under: uncultured microorganism
Description: bacterial SSU rRNA
Rfam family: Bacterial small subunit ribosomal RNA
Source: RNAcentral
GAGUUUGAUCUUGGCUCAGAACGAACGCUGACGGCAUGCCUAACACAUGCAAGUCGAACGAACUCUUCGGAGUUAGUGGCGCACGGGUGCGUAACGCGUGGGAAUCUGCCCUUGGGUACGGAAUAACUCAGAGAAAUUUGUGCUAAUACCGUAUAAUGACUUCGGUCCAAAGAUUUAUCGCCCAAGGAUGAGCCCGCGUAAGAUUAGCUAGUUGGUGGGGUAAAGGCCUACCAAGGCUACGAUCUUUAGCUGGUCUGAGAGGAUGAUCAGCCACACUGGGACUGAGACACGGCCCAGACUCCUACGGGAGGCAGCAGUGGGGAAUAUUGGACAAUGGGCGAAAGCCUGAUCCAGCAAUGCCGCGUGAGUGAUGAAGGCCUUAGGGUUGUAAAGCUCUUUUACCCGGGAUGAUAAUGACAGUACCGGGAGAAUAAGCUCCGGCUAACUCCGUGCCAGCCGCCGCCGUAAU